UUAUUUUAUAAAUUACCUGGACAGUAUGAUUGUGACCUUUAGGUUAUGAUCUUACUGAUGAAUUUCUUCAUGAGGUUUUUACUAUUUUAGUUCCUAUUGUAGAUUCAAAAUUUAUAUGGAUUAAUUCAAAAACAAUUUGGAUUGAGAUUAUCAAAAUUUUAUUUUUGAAAAGCUUAAAUAUAAAUAUCACCAAAAUUUUAGAAGGUCUUAGCGAGUUAAGAUAUAAGUAUUCAUACUAUAAGUAUAUGUUUUUAGGUAGGGCUACUUUCUAGCUAGGAUUAGCAGUAUCAGAUAUUGGUGACGUGGCAUGUUGAUGUCAAGAAGAGGUGCAAGAUUAAUUCACCAACACCAAUUCUCAAUUCUUACAUCCUCUUUUAAUAAUAUUAUGAUUUAUUGUUCCUCCUGCGGGUAUCCUCAAGAGACUGCAAUUGGUGGUAGAAGACCUAUCUGUGGUAUGUAAUUCAUGUGGUUGAUACUUAAUUUCUAAGUAGGUUAUAAUGAGGUCUUUCUAAACUUGUUUGUAUUUUGCACCUUCAGAUCUUUCUCUUUGAGUUGUAGUUGAUUGUUGUUGAAGUUCAAAUGCUUGGCAAUGUUGCCUUUGGCACUGUGCGCUUGUAGCUGUUAAGUUUUCUUCCUUGCAAGAAGCUAUGAGGAGUCCAGGGCAGCAGCACAUGACAUUCUUCAAGAGGCAGGAGAGGAGUUGAUGAAGGACGAUGCACUAGGGUUUGAUAACUCCCAGUUUUGAAACUUUGUUUCUUGAGGUGAGUAAUGAGUCUCAGGAAGGAUUCAAAAAUAUUAAGCGAUACAUAGGGGUUUUAAUUGUGGUAUAUGCUCAAGUUGGCAAGAGUGUCAGCAACAUGUUAAAGGUUAUAAGGGUUGCAUGUUUAGAAGUUUUAGAACCAGAUAGGAGGCAGAUGAUUUUGUGAAGAGUUAGGGUUGUAUGGUAGUGAUGUACCCUCUCUAAAGCUAUCUCAAUUUGUGAGGCUGAGUUGGAUAUUAGUUUGUCAAUACUCUGUCUUUGUUUGUGAUGAGACGGGUAUCCUGCGUAAUCCAGUUUCUUCUUGGUUUUUCAUAAAACAUUGAGGCCCCAAAGGAUUGUAAAUAUUUCCGCAUGUUGCUCCAAGGUUGGUACACAGCUGACCUCUAUAUUGUUGUCUUGAUGUUUUUCUCAAAUAAAGUGAUGAUGAAGAUCAUCACUAAUGAGAAGAAAACAUGAGACAACAAAAUUUCUAAAUCCUUUGAUUGUGUUAGAUUGAGAAGCCUCUCUGAGUCGGUUUUAUAUUUAACAAGUUUAGGUCUACUAGUCCUAAAAAUAAAAAUAAAAUUGAGGUAAAAUGUUUUUUUUUCUACAUGACAUAUACAGUGUUAUUUCAUAGAAUUUGCAAUAAAUCCACCUCAAGAAAUGGUUUGUAUAAAAAUGUCAAAAGUUUUGUUUGAAAUUGCUAAAUAAAAAUAAAAAUAAAAAUAAAAAAACACACAGACACAUUAAAAUAAGAAUAAUUUAUUUUGUUACAUUUGUUAUAAUUAUUAGAUUUAAGAUAUGAUUUGGCACACUUUAUUUAUAUUUUUUUAAAUUAUUUGUGCCACUUUCUAGCCUUACUUUACUUUACAUUAUUUUCAAAAGCCAAAAUUUUCAAAGAAGAGAUUUUAUUAAUCAUGCAAGGGACCUCUGUAAAGCUUUUUAUAUCAUGCCCUUUCAAAGUUCAAGGCAUGAUAUAAAACUCAAAGACAAGUCUUAUGAUGUUUCCCUACAUAGAUUGAAACACAUAACAUUGUGCAUAUUUUGAUGUUAAAGAUGGAACACAAUAUUGCAAGACAGGACAAUCAAAAACACAAAAUGUACACCCAACAGGAAAUCAC
RNAcentral lists this long non-coding RNA (1860 nucleotides) under Physcomitrium patens. RNAcentral describes it as "long non-coding RNA (PPAT_LNC013323)". Lineage: Eukaryota; Viridiplantae; Streptophyta; Bryopsida; Funariales; Funariaceae. The record is from RNAcentral.